RNAcentral lists this non-coding RNA (90 nucleotides) under bovine gut metagenome. RNAcentral describes it as "THF riboswitch". It matches the Rfam family "THF (Tetrahydrofolate) riboswitch aptamer". Rfam says of the family: THF riboswitch presents a pseudoknot that joins P1-P2 and the loop of P3 and two THF binding. The record is from RNAcentral.
GCAGAGUAGCACAAAAAGCGUUAAGUGACACGAAACGGGAUGUUGAUCGUGUACGAAAAGGCGAUUCCUUGCGAUUUUUUGGCGCAUCCA